GCCACGGUAGUUCAGUUGGUUAGAAUACGACAUUGGUAAUGUCGAGGUCGGGAGUUCGAUCCUCCCCCGUGGCU
This 74-nucleotide transfer RNA is filed under the name Candidatus Pacearchaeota archaeon. Its description in RNAcentral is "tRNA-Thr". It matches the Rfam family "tRNA". Rfam says of the family: Transfer RNA (tRNA) molecules are approximately 80 nucleotides in length. Their secondary structure includes four short double-helical elements and three loops (D, anti-codon, and T loops). Further hydrogen bonds mediate the characteristic L-shaped molecular structure. tRNAs have two regions of fundamental functional importance: the anti-codon, which is responsible for specific mRNA codon recognition, and the 3' end, to which the tRNAs corresponding amino acid is attached (by aminoacyl-tRNA synthetases). tRNAs cope with the degeneracy of the genetic code in two manners: having more than one tRNA (with a specific anti-codon) for a particular amino acid; and 'wobble' base-pairing, i.e. permitting non-standard base-pairing at the 3rd anti-codon position. Lineage: Archaea; Nanobdellati. The record is from RNAcentral.